GCAAGCUUAAAUGUUUUGGUAGCAGCUAGAACCAGAGAGACAACAAGGCUUUGAGAAAGGAAAGUUCACCAGUUCCUAUUUAAAAGUUGAAUCGGUAGCACAUACCUUAUCCAUUAGUCUGAAGAAGCUUCUGCAUCAUACUGUUUUAUUGCCUGGGUGAAGAAGUUUCUUUCUUCUUGACCUUGACAAAGAGAUCAUUUAUCAAGUUUGACAAAUUUCUUGAUUAUUCCCAUUUCCCAGAAUCUCACUACCAGGAAAGCGCCCAAGACGAUGAUUCCUUGCUACCGCAGUCUCAUUGAAUUCGCAAACUGAAUCACUAAUAAAAGUUUUAAUCUCUGUUUUCUUUUGUGCUUCCACGAUCAGUAUAGUAUCUAAUCUCUAUUUCCUUUUGCUCUUCCACCAUCAUAACAACCUGUUAAUUUUUCACCUGGAAUCACAAGAUCAUUAAUAGUGCAACAAAUCUUUGUAAAAUUGUUCUCCUUGUUUGUGACUGUUGUUCUUAAUUUCAUGCGUGAAGUACAACAUAUAUCACUGAACCUAAUUUAGACAGACAUAUAUUUUCAUUAUAGCUUUUGUACUAAAGAAAUUCUUCUUAUCCCAAGGUUGAAGAACAAAGAAACGAUACACAGAAAGACGUCAUUCUUAACUAGAAAAGGCGUUCAGCUUUGACUAAAAAUGAGUACCUGGAAAACUGGUACAAAAAUAAUAAGAAAGUCUUUUACAAUGUUAUCCGUCUCCCAGCCUUCAAGCUGCAAUAAAAGGCCACAUCAAGCAUCAGAUAUGCAGCGUUUCUAUAGCUAGAAUUACAAAGCACUUCUGGUAGACUGUAAAACCAGCUAACAUCAGCAUCAAAGCAUGCCUUAGAGGCCUUAAUUUAAACUCCCCUGCAGAACAACUAACCCACUCAUCAGUCACUGAGAAUUCAACACCAUGGUCUACUUUAUCUGCCCCUGCACUCAGUACCCCGAAUCGCAGCAGGUAGAUGCCCAUAUCCACAACAAAAGGGCUUGAAUAUGCCUCAACUAGUCGUGUUCAUUCACCAACAUCUACGUUAGCACUUGCUUCUAAUCAGUGGUCUCUCUACUUGCAAAAAAACACAAGCAUGUGCAUCAACUCCAGUUUAGUUGCCUCAUCUAAAUCAGACCUUAAAUAUUUCUCUCGAUCACCUCCAGAGAUGCCACAAAGAACAAUAUGCUAGUUCCGGCACAACUUGUGUUCCCACGUUGAAUUAUAGUUGCCAAAAUACAAUAUGCUAGUUCUGGCACAACUUGUGUCCUGAUCA
RNAcentral lists this long non-coding RNA (1282 nucleotides) under Daucus carota (carrot). Its description in RNAcentral is "long non-coding RNA (DCAR_LNC002776)". The record is from RNAcentral. Lineage: Eukaryota; Viridiplantae; Streptophyta; Magnoliopsida; Apiales; Apiaceae.